This is a non-coding RNA of Rhynchosporium agropyri, 72 nucleotides long. The record is from the annotation of a GenBank genome assembly. Lineage: Eukaryota; Fungi; Ascomycota; Leotiomycetes; Helotiales; Ploettnerulaceae.
GGGCGAUUGGUUUAGUGGUAUAAUACCUCUUUGUAUUAGAGGUGGUCCAGGGUUCGAUUCCCUGAUCGUCCA